AAGACUAUAGACCUGCGGAGUACCUGCGGAGGGAUCAUUAAAGAGUUUAACUACUCAAACCAUUGUGAACCUUACCUCAACCGUUGCUUCGGCGGGCGGGCCCGGGCCAAGCCCGGCGCCCCCCCGGCCCCUCGCGGGCGCCCGCCGGAGGUUAACCGAACCCUUGAAUUGUAUGGCCUCUCUGAGUCUUCUGUACUGAAUAAGUCAAAACUUUCAGCAAUGGAUCUCUAGAUCGGAAGA
This 240-nucleotide unclassified non-coding RNA is filed under the name soil metagenome. Its description in RNAcentral is "partial contains 5.8S ribosomal RNA, internal transcribed spacer 2, and large subunit ribosomal RNA". The record is from RNAcentral.